RNAcentral lists this transfer-messenger RNA (348 nucleotides) under Acidobacteriota bacterium. It matches the Rfam family "transfer-messenger RNA". From Rfam's summary of the family: Bacterial tmRNA, also known as 10Sa RNA or SsrA, is named for its dual tRNA and mRNA-like properties. Its role is to liberate the mRNA from a stalled ribosome. Lineage: Bacteria; Pseudomonadati; Acidobacteriota. The record is from RNAcentral.
GGGGGCGUACCGGUUUCGACGGGGAACAACGGCGGAGCAGGGGUGGCGUGUCGAUAUCCACGCGUUACGUGGAAUAUUAACUGCGAACGAUAACUUCGCUCUCGCGGCCUAAACAGCCGUGACAUUUCGAUGGGGGCGUGACCCGCGGCACCCAUCGAGAUGACGCCAAAGCGGGUCAACGGGUGCGGUCGCCUUGCGUCGCACUUCGGCAAUACCAGCAAGGCUAGCUGUCGUGCCAGGCGCCUUCUUCCGACGCGCGGCAGCGAGACCUCAAAUAGAGGGCUACGCACGUAGAAGCCUCUGAUACGCGUUUCUCGGACGUGGGUUCGACUCCCACCGCCUCCACCA